RNAcentral lists this ribosomal RNA (477 nucleotides) under uncultured bacterium. RNAcentral's name for it is "partial 16S ribosomal RNA". It matches the Rfam family "Bacterial small subunit ribosomal RNA", at positions 28 to 523 of the family's 1533-position model. The record is from RNAcentral.
GACGAACGCUGGCGGCGUGCUUAACACAUGCAAGUCGAACGGUAAGGCCCUUCGGGGUACACGAGUGGCGAACGGGUAAGUAACACGUGGGUGAUCUGCCCUGCACUUCGGGAUAAGCCUGGGAAACUGGGUCUAAUACCGGAUAGGACUCCUGGCUUCAUGGUUGGGGGUGGAAAGCUUUUGCGGUGUGGGAUGGGCCCGCGGCCUAUCAGCUUGUUGGUGGGUAAUGGCCUACCAAGGCGACGACGGGUAGCCGGCCUGAGAGGGUGACCGGUCACACUGGGACUGAGAUACGGCCCAGACUCCUACGGGAGGCAGCAGUGGGGAAUAUUGCACAAUGGGCGCAAGCCUGAUGCAGCGACGCCGCGUGAGGGAUGACGGCCUUCGGGUUGUAAACCUCUUUCAGCUAUGACGAAGCGCAAGUGACGGUAGUAGCAGAAGAAGGACCGGCCAACUACGUGCCAGCAGCCGCCGUAA